This 2248-nucleotide long non-coding RNA is filed under the name Macaca fascicularis (crab-eating macaque). RNAcentral's name for it is "lncRNA (ENSMFAG00000054744.1)". Lineage: Eukaryota; Metazoa; Chordata; Mammalia; Primates; Cercopithecidae. The record is from RNAcentral.
UUUUUUUUUUUUUUUUUGAGAUGGAGUCUCACUCUGUCACCCAGGCUGGAGUGCAGUGGCACGAUCUCGGCUCACUGCCACCUCCGCCUCCCGGGUUCAAGUAAUUCUCCUGCCUCAGCCUCCUGAGUAGCUGGGACUGCAGGUGCCCGCCACCGCUCCCGGCUAAUGUUUUGUAUUUUUAGUAGAGACAGGGUUUCACCGUGUUAGCCAGGAUGGUCUCGAUCUCCUGACCUCAAGUGAUCCGCCCGCCUCGGCCUCCCAAAGUGUUGGGAUUACGGGCAUGAGUCACCGCACCUGGCCACCAAGUGACAUCUUGAUACAUCUCCUGAGAUCUCUGUCUUGGAGGAAAAUGGAGUAUCCACACAGGGAUAAACUCAGCCUCUUAGACUUCUGGAGUUGGGGGGCCUUCCUGCAGCCUAGUACUGGAGUGUUGACGGGGGACUAGGGGUCACAUGGGUAAGGAGAGGUCGAGGUCAGCCAUAGGCACCUGAGAUCCCUGCAAGCAACCGAAGGCUAUCCCCGAAAGAGCAGGUGCGGGAUAUGGCGAGGCUGCCCUAGAGUCACUGUCCCUGAACAGGCCAGGAGCCCUGAGCUGGGGAUACCUACAGAAUAUUCCUCCAUAGCACCUAGGGCUUUGGGGAGAAGGAGAGAUAGAAGCUUCCUUCUUGUUGGUUCAGCCUCUGGGAAGGUGCUCUGACCUCCUGUUGACAUUCUAAAUUGGCCCUUCUCCUGGGUCAACCUCUCAGGAGCCUCUAAGGAAGGAGCCUGGAGCAAUCGACAUGCCCCGCCAUCCUUGCCCUGCCGUCCCCAGCAGCAUCUGUAUGAAGCUGUUAGGUUCAAAGGAAGGAGAGGGGAGAAGAGGAAUUCUGCCAGUUUUUCCCACUUCUUGAGAAACAAAAGCCACCCAGAGAGACAACUCGGUCCAAAAGUAAAGAAAAGAGGGGGAGGGGCAAGAGGGAUGGCUUAGAGGGGGUGUCCAGCUCUUUCUCUGCUUUUCCUUCCAGUGGGGCAAGGGAGGGAAGAAUAUUAAAUAUUAAAAGGAAGAAGUGGUUUCCUAAGACGAUGUAAUUAUUUUCAACAGCCUAAACUCCAUCUGCCAUUUAUCUCUCUUUUCCCAACACAUUUGCGCUGCGUUGAUCACGGCAAACAAGGCCCAGGCAUGCGGGCGUCGGGAACUUUUAUUCGGGGUCCCCAAAGCCAUGGGCAAUUGGGGGUUGGGGGCGGCGAGGGGAUAUUGCAUAAUUCUAAAUGUUGUCACUUGUUCAAAGCAGCACGAGACUUAAAAUGUGGACUUGAAUUGGGGGGGGGGGAGAUAUUAAAAAGUAGAAUUUGACUUAGGUCAGAAAUUCUCAUUCUUGGGAAAACGUCACACGUUCAGGGCAGAUGGCAAAGACAUUGGUUGCUGGGAGGGGGGUUGCCAAGGGCAAUUGAAUGAAAAUGGAUUUUUAAGAAAGAAACAGGAAUACGCUGGAAAUGAAGAGUCUGCCCCCCUUCUUCCCAGCAAGAGAAACUGUUCAGAAACGGGAAGAGGUUCUCAAGACAGAAGCAAGUGAAAUUCAGAAAUAAGCUGCCCACCCGCCAAGAAAAACUCUUCAUAGAGGGAGCAGGGGAAGAUCUUUGUAUUUCUACCUUUGCAGAUGGAGGUAAUUUGCAGCAAGGAAAGAAAACCUAAACUGCCUACAGGACUUUGCCUCCAGCGUCCCCCACUCUCAGAAGCCCCACUCACCUGUCUCGCAUCAGCGCUGGGGCUCAGGCGACGCGGCUAGUGGUCAGCACUGCGAGUCCUCCAGGGGUCCAGAGGGUCCCACCUCGUCAGCACCCAGGGGUCUGAGCCAUCUGAAGUCCAUGCAUCCAUGGCCCAUCCAGUGGAAAGAAGAAGGGUGGCCCAGAGAGAGGAGGGAGGAAAGUGGGUGCCAAGAAAAGCAGUUCUCUGAGCAGAGGGCUCCCCACAAAAGCAGACACUGAACGGGGAUGCUGUACCAGCUGCCAAGGGGAAAAAAAAAAAAAAAAAGGAGGAGGAGGAGGUUUCCCUGAUGCUGGGAGGAGGGAAAGGAGGACCGAUCGUUCUCAGCUCCUGAUCGUUUUAGCGAAGUGCUACAUGGGGACCCAGCCUGGGGAGAUCAAUCCGAGCAGAAACUGAGAGCAAGCCAGCCCACUGCUCCUCAGGGGGUACAAUAAUUUACGAUUUCUUACUCUCUUCUUUACGCCCCUUAACACUGCACCGUGACUUCCCAGCACAGGGCAGAAC